Molecule: transfer RNA, 64 nt
Filed under: Cavia porcellus (domestic guinea pig)
Lineage: Eukaryota; Metazoa; Chordata; Mammalia; Rodentia; Caviidae
Rfam family: tRNA
About the family: Transfer RNA (tRNA) molecules are approximately 80 nucleotides in length. Their secondary structure includes four short double-helical elements and three loops (D, anti-codon, and T loops). Further hydrogen bonds mediate the characteristic L-shaped molecular structure. tRNAs have two regions of fundamental functional importance: the anti-codon, which is responsible for specific mRNA codon recognition, and the 3' end, to which the tRNAs corresponding amino acid is attached (by aminoacyl-tRNA synthetases). tRNAs cope with the degeneracy of the genetic code in two manners: having more than one tRNA (with a specific anti-codon) for a particular amino acid; and 'wobble' base-pairing, i.e. permitting non-standard base-pairing at the 3rd anti-codon position.
Source: Rfam by way of RNAcentral
GGGGAUUUAGCUCAGUGGUAUAAGUGCCUGCCUGGCAAGCACGAGGUCAUGAGUUCAAUCCCCG